GACAGAGGAUGCAAGCGUUAUCCGGAAUGAUUGGGCGUAAAGCGUCUGUAGGUGGCUUUUAAGUCCGCCGUCAAAUCCCAGGGCUCAACCCUGGACAGGCGGUGGAAACUACCAAGCUGGAGUACAGUAGGGGCAGAGGGAAUUCCGGGUGGAGCGGUGAAAUGCGUAGAGAUCGGAAAGAACACCAACGGCGAAAGCACUCUGCUGGGCCGACACUGACACUGAGAGACGAAAGCUAGGGGAGCGAAUGGG
Molecule: ribosomal RNA, 252 nt
Filed under: uncultured bacterium
Lineage: Bacteria
Description: partial 16S ribosomal RNA
Rfam family: Bacterial small subunit ribosomal RNA
Source: RNAcentral